RNAcentral lists this ribosomal RNA (1480 nucleotides) under uncultured bacterium. RNAcentral's name for it is "bacterial SSU rRNA". It matches the Rfam family "Bacterial small subunit ribosomal RNA". The record is from RNAcentral.
AGAGUUUGAUCCUGGCUCAGGAUGAACGCUAGCGGCAGGCUUAACACAUGCAAGUCGAGGGGUAACAGAGUAGCUUGCUACUGCUGACGACCGGCGCACGGGUGCGUAACGCGUAUACAAUCUACCUUAUACUGGGGUAUAGCCUUUAGAAAUGAAGAUUAACCCCCCAUAGUCUCUAAGAGUGGCAUCACAUUUAGAGUAAAGGUUACGGUAUAAGAUGAGUAUGCGUUCUAUUAGUUUGUUGGUGAGGUAACGGCUUACCAAGACUACGAUAGAUAGGGGCCCUGGGAGGGGGAUCCCCCACACUGGUACUGAGACACGGACCAGACUCCUACGGGAGGCAGCAGUGAGGAAUAUUGGACAAUGGAGGCAACUCUGAUCCAGCCAUGCCGCGUGUAGGAUGACUGCCCUAUGGGUUGUAAACUACUUUUAUACAGGAAGAAACACCUCUACGUGUAGAGGCUUGACGGUACUGUAAGAAUAAGGAUCGGCUAACUCCGUGCCAGCAGCCGCGGUAAUACGGAGGAUCCAAGCGUUAUCCGGAAUCAUUGGGUUUAAAGGGUCCGUAGGUGGAUAAUUAAGUCAGAGGUGAAAUCUUGCAGCUCAACUGUAAAAUUGCCUUUGAAACUGGUUGUCUUGAGUUAUUAUGAAGUAGUUAGAAUAUGUAGUGUAGCGGUGAAAAUGCAUAGAUAUUACAUAGAAUACCAAUUGCGAAGGCAGAUUACUAAUAAUCAACUGACACUGAUGGACGAAAGCGUGGGUAGCGAACAGGAUUAGAUACCCUGGUAGUCCACGCCGUAAACGAUGGUUACUAGCUGUUUGGACUUCGGUCUGAGUGGCUAAGCGAAAGUGAUAAGUAACCCACCUGGGGGAGUACGUUCGCAAGAAUGAAACUCAAAGGAAUUGACGGGGGCCCGCACAAGCGGUGGAGCAUGUGGUUUAAUUCGAUGAUACGCGAGGAACCUUACCAGGGCUUAAAUGUAAGUUGCAUUAGUUAGAGAUAGCUAUUUCUUCGGACCACUUACAAGGUGCUGCAUGGUUGUCGUCAGCUCGUGCCGUGAGGUGUCAGGUUAAGUCCUAUAACGAGCGCAACCCCUGUUGUUAGUUGCCAGCGAGUCAUGUCGGGAACUCUAACAAGACUGCCAGUGCAAACUGUGAGGAAGGUGGGGAUGACGUCAAAUCAUCACGGCCCUUACGUCCUGGGCUACACACGUGCUACAAUGGUAGGGACAGAGAGCAGCCACUGGGCGACCAGGAGCGAAUCUAUAAACCCUAUCACAGUUCGGAUCGGAGUCUGCAACUCGACUCCGUGAAGCUGGAAUCGCUAGUAAUCGGAUAUCAGCCAUGAUCCGGUGAAUACGUUCCCGGGCCUUGUACACACCGCCCGUCAAGCCAUGGAAGUUGGAAGUGCCUGAAGUCCGUCACCGCAAGGAGCGGCCUAGGGUAAAGUCGAUAACUAGGGCUAAGUCGUAACAAGGUA